RNAcentral lists this unclassified non-coding RNA (209 nucleotides) under uncultured fungus. RNAcentral describes it as "sequence contains ITS1". The record is from RNAcentral. Lineage: Eukaryota; Fungi.
UUUACUUGUUUUUUUUGUUGACUCGGAGUUGCCACUAAAAUCAUGAGUUUGGGGUUGGCGCCCCCCCGGCGGGCACCCGGCCACGGGGGCCGGGCCGGGGACCCCUCCCAGGGGCCGCCCGCCGAGGGAACUCGACAAGAGGUAUGUUCACAGUGGGUUUACAGAGGUAGAACUGUAUAAUGAUCCCUCCGCUGGUUCACCAACGGAGA